Molecule: ribosomal RNA, 498 nt
Filed under: uncultured bacterium
Lineage: Bacteria
Description: partial 16S ribosomal RNA
Rfam family: Bacterial small subunit ribosomal RNA
Source: RNAcentral
GACGAACGCUGGCGGCGUGCCUAAUACAUGCAAGUCGAACGAGAGCGACCGGUGCUUGCACUGGUCAAUCUAGUGGCGAACGGGUGAGUAACACGUGGGUAACCUGCCCAUCAGAGGGGGAUAACAUCCGGAAACGGAUGCUAAAACCGCAUAGGUCUUCGAACCGCAUGGUUUGAAGAGGAAAAGAGGCGCAAGCUUCUGCUGAUGGAUGGACCCGCGGUGCAUUAGCUAGUUGGUGAGGUAACGGCUCACCAAGGCCGUGAUGCAUAGCCGACCUGAGAGGGUGAUCGGCCACAUUGGGACUGAGACACGGCCCAAACUCCUACGGGAGGCAGCAGUAGGGAAUCUUCCGCAAUGGACGCAAGUCUGACGGAGCAACGCCGCGUGAGUGAAGAAGGUGUUCGGAUCGUAAAACUCUGUUGUUAGAGAAGAACAAGUGCUAGAGUAACUGUUAGCGACUUGACGGUAUCUAACCAGAAAGCCACGGCUAACUACGUG